RNAcentral lists this ribosomal RNA (499 nucleotides) under uncultured bacterium. Its description in RNAcentral is "bacterial SSU rRNA". It matches the Rfam family "Bacterial small subunit ribosomal RNA", at positions 21 to 507 of the family's 1533-position model. The record is from RNAcentral.
GGCUCAGGAUGAACGCUAGCUACAGGCUUAACACAUGCAAGUCGAGGGGAAACGAUAUUGGAAGCUUGCUUCCGAUAGGCGUCGACCGGCGCACGGGUGAGUAACGCGUAUCCAACCUGCCCAUCACUUGGGGAUAACCUUGCGAAAGUAAGACUAAUACCCAAUGACGUCUCUAGAAGACAUCUGAAGGAGAUUAAAGAUUUAUCGGUGAUGGAUGGGGAUGCGUCUGAUUAGCUUGUUGGCGGGGUAACGGCCCACCAAGGCGACGAUCAGUAGGGGUUCUGAGAGGAAGGUCCCCCACAUUGGAACUGAGACACGGUCCAAACUCCUACGGGAGGCAGCAGUGAGGAAUAUUGGUCAAUGGACGAGAGUCUGAACCAGCCAAGUAGCGUGCAGGAUGACGGCCCUAUGGGUUGUAAACUGCUUUUAUAAGGGAAUAAAGUGAGUCUCGUGAGGCUUUUUGCAUGUACCUUAUGAAUAAGGACCGGCUAAUUCCGUG